This 301-nucleotide ribosomal RNA is filed under the name uncultured bacterium. RNAcentral's name for it is "partial 16S ribosomal RNA". It matches the Rfam family "Bacterial small subunit ribosomal RNA", at positions 509 to 807 of the family's 1533-position model. The record is from RNAcentral.
CAGUCGCCGCGGUAAUACGAAGGUCCCGAGCGUUGUUCGGAAUCACUGGGCGUAAAGGGAGCGUAGGCGGCGUGGCAAGUCAGAUGUGAAAUCCCGGGGCUCAACCCCGGAACUGCAUCCGAUACUGCCAUGCUAGAGGAUUGGAGAGGUAGCUGGAAUUCUUGGUGUAGCAGUGAAAUGCGUGGAGAUCAAGAGGAACACUCGUGGCGAAAGCGAGCUACUGGACAAUAACAGACGCUGAGGCUCGAAGGCCAGGGUAGCGAAAGGGAUUAGAUACCCGAGUAGUCCCUGUCUCUUAUAC